GAUGAACGCUGGCGGCGUGCUUAACACAUGCAAGUCGAACGGUGAACACGGAGCUUGCUCUGUGGGAUCAGUGGCGAACGGGUGAGUAACACGUGAGCAACCUGCCCCUGACUCUGGGAUAAGCGCUGGAAACGGCGUCUAAUACUGGAUAUGUGACGUGACCGCAUGGUCUGCGUUUGGAAAGAUUUUUCGGUUGGGGAUGGGCUCGCGGCCUAUCAGCUUGUUGGUGAGGUAAUGGCUCACCAAGGCGUCGACGGGUAGCCGGCCUGAGAGGGUAACCGGCCACACUGGGACUGAGACACGGCCCAGACUCCUACGGGAGGCAGCAGUGGGGAAUAUUGCACAAUGGGCGCAAGCCUGAUGCAGCAACGCCGCGUGAGGGAUGACGGCCUUCGGGUUGUAAACCUCUUUUAGCAGGGAAGAAGCGAAAGUGACGGUACCUGCAGAAAAAGCGCCGGCUAACUACGUG
This 469-nucleotide ribosomal RNA is filed under the name uncultured bacterium. RNAcentral describes it as "partial 16S ribosomal RNA". It matches the Rfam family "Bacterial small subunit ribosomal RNA", at positions 28 to 507 of the family's 1533-position model. The record is from RNAcentral.